RNAcentral lists this ribosomal RNA (453 nucleotides) under uncultured bacterium. Its description in RNAcentral is "bacterial SSU rRNA". It matches the Rfam family "Bacterial small subunit ribosomal RNA", at positions 84 to 515 of the family's 1533-position model. The record is from RNAcentral.
GAGCGAGUAGAGUGGCGCUCGGGUGAGUAACACGUAGGUAAUCUACCUUUGGGUGGGGAAUAACAGCCGGAAACGGCUGCUAAUACCGCAUAAUGCAGCGGCUCGACAUCGAGACAGUUGUUAAAGCGGGGGAUUCCGAAAGGAACCUCGCGCCUAAAGAGGAGCCUGCGGCAGAUUAGCUAGUUGGUAAGGUAAUGGCUUACCAAGGCUUCGAUCUGUAGCCGGCCUGAGAGGGCGGUCGGCCACACUGACACUUAAAUACGGGACAGACUCCUACGGGAGGCAGCAGUCGGGAAUUUUGGGCAAUGGGCGAAAGCCUGACCCAGCAACGCCGCGUGAAGGAUGAAAUCCCUCGGGAUGUAAACUUCGUAAGAACAGGAAGAAUAAGUGGGGGACAAUACCCCCCAUGAUGACGGUACUGUUUGUAAGCUCCGGCUAACUCCGUGCCACAGC